Molecule: ribosomal RNA, 706 nt
Filed under: uncultured Lachnospiraceae bacterium
Lineage: Bacteria; Bacillati; Bacillota; Clostridia; Lachnospirales; Lachnospiraceae
Description: bacterial SSU rRNA
Rfam family: Bacterial small subunit ribosomal RNA
Source: RNAcentral
CGAACGCUGGCGGCGCGCCUAACACAUGCAAGUCGAACGAGCGAGAGAGAGUUUACUUUUUCGAGCGAGUGGCGAACGGGUGAGUAACGCGUGAGGAACCUGCCUCAAAGAGGGGGACAACAGUUGGAAACGACUGCUAAUACCGCAUAAGCCCACGACCCGGCAUCGGGUAGAGGGAAAAGGAGCAAUCCGCUUUGAGAUGGCCUCGCGUCCGAUUAGCUAGUUGGUGAGGUAAUGGCCCACCAAGGCGACGAUCGGUAGCCGGACUGAGAGGUUGAACGGCCACAUUGGGACUGAGACACGGCCCAGACUCCUACGGGAGGCAGCAGUGGGGAAUAUUGCACAAUGGGGGAAACCCUGAUGCAGCGACGCCGCGUGGAGGAAGAAGGUCUUCGGAUUGUAAACUCCUGUUGUUGAGGAAGAUAAUGACGGUACUCAACAAGGAAGUGACGGCUAACUACGUGCCAGCAGCCGCGGUAAAACGUAGGUCACAAGCGUUGUCCGGAAUUACUGGGUGUAAAGGGAGCGCAGGCGGGAAGACAAGUUGGAAGUGAAAUCCAUGGGCUCAACCCAUGAACUGCUUUCAAAACUGUUUUUCUUGAGUAGUGCAGAGGUAGGCGGAAUUCCCGGUGUAGCGGUGGAAUGCGUAGAUAUCGGGAGGAACACCAGUGGCGAAGGCGGCCUACUGGGCACCAACUGACGCUGA